RNAcentral lists this long non-coding RNA (1091 nucleotides) under Homo sapiens (human). RNAcentral's name for it is "HSALNT0072255". The record is from RNAcentral. Lineage: Eukaryota; Metazoa; Chordata; Mammalia; Primates; Hominidae.
CCCCGUGAGGCGCGGGGAGAAGAGGCAGCGGGCGGAGGGGAGCAGCGGGUGGUCCGAGGCGGCGCAGCCCAGGGUGGGCGCCUGACCCACGUUCUCUGGCUCUUGUCGACGGCGCAAGCUAACGCAAACACACAUGGUCGGACGCAUGCACAGCACGCCUAGAAGCGGAUCAAGAAGUAAUUAUAGAACAAGCUUUCCAGCGCCUCACUCAGUCACACCUCCUUCAAGAGCUGUGAAAUGGAAAGAAAACAGUUACUCCAGCUGCGACGUCUGAAGGGGCCCCGCACUUCGUCCCUGGUCAUAAGACACCGCAAGAGUUUAGUUAAGUGGCUUGAUACCAAGGAAGAGGUGGGCCCUGCACUCCUAAAAUCCCAAGCUCCGGCCCCUUACAGUCUCAUCUGAGAAACACAUCUUCAACGGCAGGCCAAAUUCCUCCUGCGAGCAACAUUCUGUAGCUGCAGCUGAUGGCAAGAUGUCACCAGCGGCUGAUGGCAAAAUGUCACCAGAGUCGCGGGUUAACCACCCCAUCCGCUAUCCAAGGCCCUCUCCCCGCUACCCUUUCAACCUUGUCCCAGAGGCUUUUAUGUUGGGGUAUGGCAACAAACUCUGUGGCUUUGUGUACCCACCCACAUUAAAGGCUAAAAUGUGAAAUAAACCAGUGCCCUUAUCCGCACAUGUCAGUCAUCUAAUUUGACCCCCUCUUCCAGCCAGAACUUAAUUGACCAGGUAUUUGACAGAAUUUUAUGAUCCUCAGCCAGUUCAGACUCUGAGAUGAACCUCUUGUCUACAGAGGUUUAGGUGUUUGCAGGAAUGCAAGGAGAAAUAGAAAGGUAAUCUCAAGGUAGCAAGUUUUCUAGGAUGGGCCACGUAAUUAGAAAGACACACAACCUUACAAUAAACAUAAUAAAAGGCUGACUUCUAGGGAGAUCACUAGAACGAAACAGCCAUUUGAGUCAGAAAGAAAAAGCAUUUCCAAUAUGCACCAUGUCUUUCUGCAUGGUUUAAAUCAGACUUGAAUGUCACUUCUAUAAAAUCAAACUUUGCAAGACUGUAAUUACAGGUAACCAUGUACUUUUAAAAUCUUUCCCCUC